Molecule: long non-coding RNA, 448 nt
Filed under: Arabidopsis lyrata
Lineage: Eukaryota; Viridiplantae; Streptophyta; Magnoliopsida; Brassicales; Brassicaceae
Description: long non-coding RNA (ALYR_LNC001001)
Source: RNAcentral
AUUGAGACAAACAACAACUUCAAUUUGUGUCUACAACUGAAAAAACAGAUCCAAAACUAACCUUAUAGAAAUGAUUAUUGCUUUAAGUGUUGUCGAUUUGCAAAAUUUGAUCUGCAAAUGGUUUCAUUCAGGUUCUGUUCUUCACUGAUCCCCUCUCCCAGAUUUCUAACAGAAACAAAUUCAUCAUCUCAAGUGCUUUAUCCGAAUCCUAUAUGAAAUCUGAAAAAGGUAAUUGAUCACAGAAUCUAAAUUAUCUUGAAACAAUUCAAUUGAAUUAGAAUGAAGCUUACAAAUUAAGAAGAAUUGGCGCAGAGAACAUGUCUAUUGAUGUGAGCUUAUGAUCUGAUUAUCAGCUUCUUCGGUAUCAUCGGUAAAGCUUAAGCAUGUCAAUGGAUGUUAACUUUCGGUGGAGAACGAGAAUCAUCGUUCUCAUAUGUUUUUUUUUUUU